UGUUUUUUUUAUUUGAGAUGUGGGGAGUACUUUCGGAGAGACUCGAGAGUCGAGAGACGGAUUUCACAGGAGAUUUAGAGAAUUUGGAGAGAAAGCUGGGGAUCCUGAGCGACAAAUAAGGCGAUAGUGCCGAGUUCAAGAUAUGAUUCAAUGGAUCACAAUGAAUCACUGCGUGACCGAGUUUGAUGUCGACGAACAUUAUUCUAUUCCAACUUCUUCAUCCAUUUAACUUCUGCAGCCUUCAUUGUGCACGCUCUCCUUAUCUAUUAUGCACAGCGUGUUCACUUGUAAAUACCAUGGCGGCAUGUGAUUGGCUUGGGGAACAAUGAUGUGGUGUCUACUAGACACAAAAUACCUUCUCCACUUGAUGACCGCUUUGCAAAGAGAUUUCUUUUAUCAAUAAUAUUAUUUUUUUAAAUUAUGAUUUAAGCCUCAAAAUCAAAUUAUUUACAAAUCUAGCAUCCAAUAACACACCUUAGAUGCCAGCACCAUUUGACGAUGGUCAGGAUUUUCUAGUUUAACCAACAAGUUUAGUCCUCACACAGACCACUUGGUUGAAUGGUGUGUAACGAGUUUCCUUAUAAUUUGGUGUAUGUAACGAGUUUCCUUAUAAUUUGGUGUAUGUUGAUUGGGUUUUAGGGUGUGGAACCCCACACACUGGGUUCACUGUUCACCUAUGUUAACAGUCGAAGUGAUGUUGUAUGAGUAUUAUUACUCCCACGGGAUCAUGGGAUAAUGUGACGUUUCGCUAUUAAUAUAGAUUAUCAAUCCUAAUUAAAUUAUCAAUUUGAAAAACAUUACUCAUGUAAUUAACUCUUUUACUAUUUUAUUAGAUUUACCUGUAGUUAAUACAAUUAAAGCUUAUAUAUCUAAAAACAGACUAAAUUAAUUAUUAAUCAGCUUAGAACGUUCAAAUUUAUAAGUACUUAGUUAAUUAAGGAUAGAAUUGAAAAGUAAAAAAUUAAAUAUCCUUCCACUUGAUAAAUUUUACACAAUUUUAAGACAAAGAAAGUAGAAAUUUGAACCAUCUUUUUAGGAUGAUGGGCUAACUUUUUUAGAGGACUUUGAAAGUUGUUCAGUCCCCCCCCCCCCCCCCCC
Molecule: long non-coding RNA, 1098 nt
Organism: Diospyros lotus (date-plum)
Lineage: Eukaryota; Viridiplantae; Streptophyta; Magnoliopsida; Ericales; Ebenaceae
Exons: 3
Source: RefSeq, a predicted model, not a curated record